Long non-coding RNA from Orcinus orca (killer whale), 4909 nucleotides. RefSeq lists it as uncharacterized. The record is from RefSeq and is a predicted model, not a curated record. NCBI's taxonomy places the organism in Eukaryota, Metazoa, Chordata, Mammalia, Artiodactyla, Delphinidae. The transcript is spliced from 3 exons.
CACUGUGCCAGGGAAGCCCGACGGCGAUUUUAUGCAGACCUGAGCACGACAGCCGGGGCCUGUCACCCAGCUCUCAAGUGAAGAUCCAGGGGUAUUUGCAAGCAGAAAUAAUGGGCCGCUGCAGCUUUUUAAAGAGACAUGAUUUAUCUCCGGGAUGGAUCCAGGCCGGCGCUGCUGGAGGACAAUCCCAGGCUCUGGCCGGGGGGACGUUGUUCAUGCCUCGGCGGCCUGUCUGCAGAGGGGGAACAGCGAGGCUCCGCCUGCCGGGGUGACCGGGAGUUGGGGUGACCUGCGCCGGGCAGAGAAACACACCCCACGGAGGGCGGAGAUCUGGGAAAUUUCUGUUGAAUUUGAACCACAUGAUGGUGAACUGGGUGACUCAGAGUCCAGCUGGAACGUCUGCAGGCAGAAUCACGUGGUUUGGGCGCCUUCAUUUCUCUAGAGCAGGAAUGUGUGCUUGCGAAGAUGCAAGUGACGUACCUUUGAUUGAAAACAGCUGCACGCAAGUGCAAGCCUUUUUCGCCAGUUAACUGGACUGUGCCGACGCCAGGUGUCCACCCAGGGCCCUUCUUUCUCACUAACAGGACCCUGAUGGCCCCGCGCUCCAGCCAUGGCCAGCCCCCUGGCCGCUGUGCCCGUGUGACCCUAUUCUCGCCCCAAGGUGGAGGCAGGCGGCCGCUGGGGAUCCUGGGAAAGCGCGGCUGCCCCGAUUCAGCCUCUUCCUCCUCUCGCCGCUCCUGCUUCCCUCCUGGCGGGGGGCAGACACGACGCCGAGGAGCAGCAGCAUCCGCAGCCACAGGGACCCUGCAGGAAAGGCGCAAGCCGAGGACGGAGGCAGAACGGCGGAAGGAGACGCGCUUGGCGUAUCGUGCAGCCCUGCACCAGGCCUGGACCGCCGCCCCCUGGCCUCACUGACCGGAAACAGGCCAGUCACCCUGGGUUAAGCCACUGGAACUGGUGGAGUCGAGCCGAGCGCAGUCCUGGCUGGAAGCGGUCACAGCUGGCCCUUGAGAACGGCGGCCCUGAGGUCCGCUCACCUGUGAACUGGGUUCACAGCAGUGGGGGUCCCCAAACUCAUUUGUCCUAGGAUGGAGACAGAAUGCAGCAUCACGGGACACCCAGCGACCCCCUUCACGGGCCAGGUCAGCCGACGCUUUCAAAAAUAAACCCAGAAUUAGGGAAACUUCUUCUGCGCCCGCCAUCUGAAUCCUUCCAGACUCUGGAAGUGUGAUACCUGCACGUUCCCUUCGUGGAGAGAACGUCCCCCGUGCAUCCUCCAGCGUCCACUUCCCCUUCUUGAAUGAACAGAACCUGAUCAUCAUUUGAGAAUUCGCCUUCCCACCUCAGCCUGCGUGUUUGGGGUGGGCUGAUGCAGGACCCCAGGCCUGGCCCGGGGGGGACUCAGUGAUGGGACCUAAGCUGGCCACUCAGUGACUUGGGGCUCUCGUGGCACCUGCUCUUGUCCCUGGACUUGAACCUGAGCGAGUGCAGGGCAGGAGCUGUGUUGGAGCCGCACGGGGCGCCUGCAGCCCCUGGGCCCCAGCGGAGCCUGGCGGGAGCCGGCGCCGUGGUGGGGGUCGGGGCCACUCAGCCGAGUCCAGGGGGCGGCGUGUGACACGCAGACCCGGCUCUGCCUGAAGACCUAGCACCGUGCACCAGCCUGUUGAUGCCCUCGGCCUGAGCCACCCGAGUCAGGUCUCUGUCCCUUGUCACCGAGAGAAUCCUGCAGGAAAAGAUUCCGUUAGGGGCAGGGACUUCCCUGGCCGCUUGGGAAACCUCCAAUCUGCCCAGAAACCAGGAGGACAUUUACACCUGCUCAGUCUUUUCCUCUGCGAGGCUUGCCCUCUGCCACGUGGAGUCAUCUUCUUUGGCUGAAUUCAGGGAGCUGUCAGGGAACCGUAACUGGGGUUGGCUCUCCCCACUUCUUGCCAGGAGAACACACUUGGGUCUGUUUUAGAACCUGAAUAAUAUCAUCGUGCCCUCUGUGUGCAGAAAUGGACUGUUCUUACUUGAAGAGGGAAUUGUGGGCACCUUGACUUUUGAGGUUUGUAAGCGAGCAAGCCUACCUCGGACCCCUGUGCCGGGAGGUCAGAGGCUGUGGUCGCAGCUGCUCCGUGGCGCCCUUCCCUGCAUCCCAGCAUCCAGGGCUCUGCCCCAUCCCUUCCCCGGGUCUCUCAGCUCCCCCUGUGCCACCACCAAAGGCUCUAUUUCUGGGGAUUAAAAAGGCGGGGAUGACGGGGCAGCUCUGUCUGCAGAGCUCCGAGGAGCAGUGGUCUUGGUUGUCUCUUUGUUAAAUGGAAGCCGCUGCCUCCUUGAAGGGGCAAAAUGAGCUGAGAGCCCAGACAUGGUCCCCUGCAGAGGCGCCAACAGGAGAGAUGCAAACGCCUCUGGGACUUGCCUCAAGGAUCGACCCUCACAAACUGCGAGUGUCAGGUCCCGGCCGAGGCUGGGUGGGCUUACUCCUAACAGCCCCUCUGUUUCUAUCCACGGAAUAACCUCCACUGACGGCCCCUGGCCGCUUCUGCAGUCGCUGCUUCUCUGCUUUCUAGGGGCCCCUGUCCACUUCAGGCCUUGGGGCGGGGUCCACGUUCUAAUUCUAGAACUCGGUGCUUCAGGGCACCAGGCCUCUCCCAGCCUGGGAGCAAGGGGUCCCUAGAGCAUCACACUCCUCCCCUUUGAGCGGCCUCACCUUAUUCCAGGCCCUAUAAUUUAUGGUUGCCCAAAGAUGACAUGUUUCCCUGAACUAAGGCCUGGCCCUCCCCCUGCAGACCCCGCGACUGUUAUAUUACCUGCUCUCUUUACUUGUGGCAUUUGUUAUUUUCUGCAAUUGUCUUGGGUAUUGAUGUAUUUACCUCCUUCUCUAUUGUCCGCCUCCCAGACUAUAACACUAGCUCUCUGGGGUCGGGCUGCCUCUGCCUCCUUCUCUCUUAUUUCCCUGGAGCCCACGGCAGCAGUCGGUACCCAGAAGGAGCUCAGUGAAUGUGGGAUUACUCAGACGACUGACAGAAGGAGUGAACACAUGAGGCAAAGAUGCCCCAGCGCAACAGAGUCCCAUCCCACUGGUCCAGCAAGGACAGUAAAAAGAAAGGCCUCUUUCCCAGUAUUCCAGCGAAAGCCCUGGGACUGACGCAGAUCAGACAAGCUGGGCUCACAGACCCGCCUCCUGAUGGAAACAGCGCUCCUCCUCCUGUUCUCCAUCUCCUGCCCCCCUACCCUCGCUCCGUAGGACUGGCGCCGUCGUCCUGACCACAGAUGACACAAGGAGGGUGCAGCCAUGAGGACGUUUCCACCAAAGGCGCUUCUGCUCACAGCUCAUGGGGGGUUCUUGCCACCUGUUGGGAGAAAGAUGGUCGGAUCCUAACAGCUCUCAGGACGCAGCGUGUUUAUGUCCAAGCCAGUCUGAGGCCCUGGUCACUUCACAGCCCAGGCAUUUAUUGAGCUGCUGCUGGGCUGCAGUGGCCCUGGAGAUGGGGAAGUGAGCGACAGCACGGCCUCAACCUCUCCAGGCUCGCAGUGGAGGGAGGGAGGUGAGCGGGGGCCCCACGCCCAGAUGAUCCCGGCCCCAUCGAUGCACUUUCUGGUUUUCCCUUCGUGGAGCCCGUGUUCAGAGCACAGAGACACCCUGUGUUGUGUGCAUUUUAUAAACCUGGGGGACUUAACAGUAACAUGUAGCCGACAGUGGUGGGGGCGGGGCACGGAGGGAGGAUUUGAGGAAAGACCAAGAACAGCGUGGAGAUGCCAGUUUCUCCACCGAGAGCUGUGGGCAGAUGGUAUCUGACGGGAUAAACGGGGCCGCAGGGAAACACUGUCCUGUCCUGCACAAGCAUUUAUCGAGUGACUGCUGUGUGCAUUGCACUGAGUCCUGUGUGGUGAGCAAAAUGGGUGGGAGUGGAUCUUUCUUUGGGGGCUUUGCCAUCUUGGAGGCCACCUCAUGGUGAAUGGACCCCAGACACCCAGGCUACAGGGACUUUCAAGUCCUCCCCCCUGGCCACUCUCUACAGCAGGGAGGGACCAAGGUGUGGGAGGGCGUUUUAGGCACAGUCAUGAUCUCCACUCCCCUUCUCGGCCACCCAGAUGAGCCUGGAAUCCUUGUCAAACAGGGGGCUUGCUAUGGGGGCAGCCUCUGCAGGACCCCCGGGCCCCCCUCCAGUGGGACUGCCCGCCCCCAGCCCCAGCCCUAGAGAAAUCCUGGAGCUGCACUGCCUGCAGCUUCCAGCCAUCAUCUGGGCUCCGAGAACUGUGAACCCCGGGCUGGCGCCGACCCCCGAGCCCAUCAGCCCUGAAAAUGACAGGCAACCCUCCAUCCCGUAUGCAGAACUCGAGGGCAGCCACCCGCUGCUUCGGGGGCCCCGUGCCCCGGGCGGUCAUUAGCCGAUGGGCCCCGGUCGAUUGGCCAGGAGAGCGGGGCGCAGACAGGAGCCGAGCCCGCUGCCUUCGCGGAGCCCACCCUCCUCUGCGUGGAGCCGCGUCCGCCCUCGGGGUCACCCCUCCCCCCACCGUGCAGCCCGGCCUCCCACGCGCGGCCGCUGGGUGGUUUGCAGCAGGUCUGCCUGUCGUGUCCCCCACGAAUCAUGUCCUCAUCGAAGUGGGCAGCGAACCUUACAAACCUGCCCCGGGGAGGCCUGAGAGCCGCCCUUGGGGGCGUGGGCACUGCGCUCAGGCCAGGGGGGAGCUGCCUGGACCCUCAGGAGUCUCUCCACCCCAGACCCCUGGAGGGUGAGGUGCGGGCUCCUGCAGAUUGGAACGAAGGUCCCUUUUGGGUUCCUGUCCCAGAUUGGGGGCCACGGGCAUGGCCAGGGAAGGGGCAGGGAGGGAACACCCAGGCUUCUUCUAGGGCUCUUGGGCCACAGGCUGCACACAGGCUGGACAGUCCCCUGGAGCAGGGACCGUGGUGGUUCAGAGGACAAAU